Molecule: long non-coding RNA, 101 nt
Organism: Copidosoma floridanum
Lineage: Eukaryota; Metazoa; Arthropoda; Insecta; Hymenoptera; Encyrtidae
Source: RefSeq, a predicted model, not a curated record
AGGAUUCGCACUUUUGGUUUUACCAGGGCUGUUGUCAGACUUUUUUGUCAUGAUUUUUCUGGCAGAAAAUGUAAACGUACCAUAAAUUUUUUAUAGCAUUG